UCAAAGCACGGUGAAGGAGUUCACCGCGAAACGCCGCCAGGGACACACCCUCGUGGCUGAUGACUCCUACGGCAUA
RNAcentral lists this non-coding RNA (76 nucleotides) under Nitrospira defluvii. RNAcentral's name for it is "crcB". It matches the Rfam family "Fluoride riboswitch aptamer (crcB RNA motif)". The record is from RNAcentral. Lineage: Bacteria; Pseudomonadati; Nitrospirota; Nitrospiria; Nitrospirales; Nitrospiraceae.